Molecule: ribosomal RNA, 208 nt
Filed under: uncultured bacterium
Lineage: Bacteria
Description: partial 16S ribosomal RNA
Rfam family: Bacterial small subunit ribosomal RNA
Source: RNAcentral
UGCGUAGGCGGCUUUCUAAGUUUGAUGUGAAAUCCCGGGGCUCAACCCUGGAAUUGCAUUGAAUACUGGGAGGCUAGAGUACUGGAGAGGGAACUGGAAUUUACGGUGUAGCAGUGAAAUGCGUAGAGAUCGUAAGGAAGACCAGUGGCGAAGGCGAGUUCCUGGACAGUUACUGACGCUGAGGCACGAAGGCCAGGGGAGCAAACGG